AAUGAAUCGCAGGAGCCAACACAAUCGGCAAGUAUUGAAGAAACAGACCUUCUUGUUACUCAAGGUGCAGAGUUAAUUCAGGGAGCACUGGUUGAUAGGCUUGACGAGAUAAACAGUGACCGAGGGCACAGAAAACCUCUCUCUGACAUAGGAAAUACACAGGUGUGUGUCAGUCAUCAUCCUUUAAAACGUCAAGACGUUUUCUUGAUUAAAAAUAAGGAAGUGUUAGGUUACUCUUUGAGAUUGAAAACUAUGAAUUGAAGAAAGAAACUGGUUAAAUAAAAGGUAGGAUGAUAUUUACAUUAUCAUUCAAUCACAAAUCAUCAUUGAUAUGAUUUUUAAGAUAAUUUUGUAAAAGUCAACAAAUUUAUCACAAAAGAUAGUAUCUGAUUGGAUGACAAUGUAAUUUUACACUGUGAGUGCUUAGUCUAUUUUCUCACCAAUUAAUAAUUGCUAAUUCUCUAUUUAAUGGUAUUAAUAGUUGCUAGUUAAGGCAAUAAUAUCCCAUCCAUCCUGCAUUCUUAUCUGUCGUGUCCUGUUAAGCAUUACAAUUUCUUAUCGCAGGCCAAAUCAAAUGCAAAGAACGGUAAUCCAAAAAAGAAAACAGCCACCGUAAUUAUUGUUCCAAAUCCGCCACCUUCUUCGCAGGCAGAGAAUACUGAAGUCCCCAUCCCCAUCCACAACCGCAAGUUCAAAUUCAGGAAAGAAAAUAAUAACAGUGAAACAAGUGUAGCUGUGAAUAAACCAAGACAUAAAAGGUCCAAAUCCAGACCUGAAAACGCUGCCUCAGCCCCAAGAGCAGAGGGUAAUUUUGUGGACCCAGAUGAACCCUUGAAAAUGCCAG
RNAcentral lists this long non-coding RNA (844 nucleotides) under Glycine max (soybean). RNAcentral's name for it is "long non-coding RNA (GMAX_LNC000779)". The record is from RNAcentral. Lineage: Eukaryota; Viridiplantae; Streptophyta; Magnoliopsida; Fabales; Fabaceae.